UGGGGAAUUUUGGACAAUGGGCGAAAGCCUGAUCCAGCAAUGCCGCGUGUGUGAAGAAGGCCUUCGGGUUGUAAAGCACUUUUGUCCGGAAAGAAAUCCUUGGCUCUAAUACAGUCGGGGGAUGACGGUACCGGAAGAAUAAGCACCGGCUAACUACGUGCCAGCAGCCGCGGUAAUACGUAGGGUGCAAGCGUUAAUCGGAAUUACUGGGCGUAAAGCGUGCGCAGGCGGUUUGCUAAGACCGAUGUGAAAUCCCCGGGCUCAACCUGGGAACUGCAUUGGUGACUGGCAGGCUAGAGUAUGGCAGAGGGGGGUAGAAUUCCACGUGUAGCAGUGAAAUGCGUAGAGAUGUGGAGGAAUACCGAUGGCGAAGGCAGCCCCCUGGGCCAAUACUGACGCUCAUGCACGAAAGCGUGGGGAGCAAACAGGAUUAGAUACCCCUGGUAGUUCCANGCCCCUAAACGAUGUCAACUAGUUGUUGGGGAUUCAUUUCCUUAGUAACGUAGCUAACGCGUGAAGUUGACCGCCUGGGGAGUACGGUCGCAAGAUUAAACUCAAUGAAUUGACGGGGUCAUAGCUGUUU
Molecule: ribosomal RNA, 583 nt
Filed under: uncultured bacterium
Lineage: Bacteria
Description: partial 16S ribosomal RNA
Rfam family: Bacterial small subunit ribosomal RNA
Source: RNAcentral